Molecule: ribosomal RNA, 776 nt
Filed under: uncultured Neocallimastigales
Lineage: Eukaryota; Fungi; Neocallimastigomycota; Neocallimastigomycetes; Neocallimastigales
Description: partial large subunit ribosomal RNA
Rfam family: Eukaryotic large subunit ribosomal RNA
Source: RNAcentral
AGAGAGAGACAUGCGCGCAUAUCAAUAAGCGGAGGAAAAGAAACUAACUAGGAUUCCCUCAGUAACGGCGAGUGAAGCGGGAAGAGCUCAAAUUUGAAAUCUUCAAGGUUCUACCUUGACGAAUUGUAGUUUAAAGAAGUGUUUUCUGUUGGAGUUUUGGUAAAAGUUCUUUGGAAUAGGACAUCAUAGAGGGUGAGAAUCCCGUAUUUGACCAUUAUUUCCAGCUUUGUGAUACACUUUCAAAGAGUCGGAUUGUUUGGGAAUGCAGUCCAAAAUGGGUGGUAAAUUUCAUCUAAAGCUAAAUACUGGCGAGAGACCGACUAGCGAACAAGUACCGUGAGGGAAAGAUGAAAAGAACUUUGAAAAGAGAGUUAAACAGUACGUGAAAUUGUCAAAAGGGAAGCGUUUGACACCAGUGUUGUUUUCUCGAAAAUCAAUUAAAAAAGGCAGGAUUUUGUGUUGUAUUGACUUUAUCAGCUUUCUGCACUCUUUUCUUGUCUUUUUUUAAUGCACUUUUCGUUUAACAAGUCAACAUCAAUUUCUUUUGUUGUAAAAGGGUCAUUGGAAGGUGGCUUUCUUUUCGGAGAAAGUGUUUAUAGCCUUUGGCCUCUGCAAUCGGAGAGAUUGAGGUCUGCAGCGUAGAUCCUUCGGGGUUAGAUACAUUUGUGCUAAGUUAUAGCCUUUCAUAGACAACUUGUUGACUAUGAUCAGUCAUGUAGCUUACUCGCUUAUGCUAUUUUACCUACGCUUAGGAUGUUGAUGUGAUACUGCGAGCA